CACGUAGGUGGCAAGCGUUAUCCGGAAUUAUUGGGCGUAAAGAGCGCGCAGGUGGUUGAUUAAGUCUGAUGUGAAAGCCCACGGCUUAACCGUGGAGGGUCAUUGGAAACUGGUCGACUAGAGUGCAGAAGAGGGAAGUGGAAUUCCAUGUGUAGCGGUGAAAUGCGUAGAGAUAUGGAGGAACACCAGUGGCGAAGGCGGCUUCCUGGUCUGUAACUGACGCUGAGGCUCGAAAGCGCGGGGAUCAAACAGGAUUAGAUA
Molecule: ribosomal RNA, 261 nt
Filed under: uncultured prokaryote
Description: partial 16S ribosomal RNA
Rfam family: Bacterial small subunit ribosomal RNA
Source: RNAcentral